Molecule: non-coding RNA, 207 nt
Organism: Paramuricea clavata
Lineage: Eukaryota; Metazoa; Cnidaria; Anthozoa; Malacalcyonacea; Plexauridae
Source: the annotation of a GenBank genome assembly
GGUUGUUUAGGAUAUAGUGUAUAUGUGUGGUUGGUUCUUGUAGCACGAUACUGUUUAUAUUCAAACACUUCUGCGAAUGAUAUACCAUUAAGACUGAAAACGGUUUUAUAACACUCGACCAGAGAUAGGAAUUCUCUUCGUUUCUCUAGAGUGUUCCAUUUUAAUAAUUCACAUCGGUCUUUGUAUGGCAUUUCACCUCAUCUUUGU